ACUGACCGAUAGUGAACCAGUACCGUGAGGGAAAGGCGAAAAGAACCCCGGCGAGGGGAGUGAAAAAGAACCUGAAACCGUGUACGUACAAGCAGUGGGAGCACAGGUUUACCUGUGUGACUGCGUACCUUUUGUAUAAUGGGUCAGCGACUUAUAUUCUGUAGCAAGGUUAACCGAAUAGGGGAGCCGGAGGGAAACCGAGUCUUAAUUGGGCGUUAAGUUGCAGGGUAUAGACCCGAAACCCGGUGAUCUAGCCAUGGGCAGGUUGAAGGUUGGGUAACACUAACUGGAGGACCGAACCGACUAAUGUUGAAAAAUUAGCGGAUGACCUGUGGCUGGGGGUGAAAGGCCAAUCAAACCGGGAGAUAGCUGGUUCUCCCCGAAAGCUAUUUAGGUAGCGCCUCGUGAAUUCAUCUCCGGGGGUAGAGCACUGUUUCGGCUAGGGGGCCAUCCCGGCUUACCAACCCGAUGCAAACUGCGAAUACCGGAGAAUGUUAUCACGGGAGACACACGGCGGGUGCUAACGUCCGUCGUGAAGAGGGAAACAACCCAGACCGCCAGCUAAGGUCCCAAAGUCAUGGUUAAGUGGGAAACGAUGUGGGAAGGCCCAGACAGCCAGGAUGUUGGCUUAGAAGCAGCCAUCAUUUAAAGAAAGCGUAAUAGCUCACUGGUCGAGUCGGCCUGCGCGGAAGAUGUAACGGGGCUAAACCAUGCACCGAAGCUGCGGCAGCGACGCUGAUGCGUUGUUGGGUAGGGGAG
Molecule: ribosomal RNA, 759 nt
Filed under: Salmonella enterica
Lineage: Bacteria; Pseudomonadati; Pseudomonadota; Gammaproteobacteria; Enterobacterales; Enterobacteriaceae
Description: partial 23S ribosomal RNA
Rfam family: Bacterial large subunit ribosomal RNA
Source: RNAcentral